AUGCACGCUGGCGGCGUGCCUAAUACAUGCCAGUCGCGCGAACAGACGAGGAGCUUGCUCCUCUGACGUUAGCGGCGGACGGGUGAGUAACACGUGGAUAACCUACCUAUAAGACUGGGAUAACUUCGGGAAACCGGAGCUAAUACCGGAUAAUAUAUUUAACCGCAUGGUUCAAUAGUGAAAGACGGUUUUGCUGUCACUUAUAGAUGGAUCCGCGCCGCAUUAGCUAGUUGGUAAGGUAACGGCUUACCAAGGCAACGAUGCGUAGCCGACCUGAGAGGGUGAUCGGCCACACUGGAACUGAGACACGGUCCAGACUCCUACGGGAGGCAGCAGUAGGGAAUCUUCCGCAAUGGGCGAAAGCCUGACGGAGCAACGCCGCGUGAGUGAUGAAGGUCUUCGGAUCGUAAAACUCUGUUAUUAGGGAAGAACAAAUGUGUAAGUAACUAUGCACGUCUUGACGGUACCUAAUCAGAAAGCCACGGCUAACUACGUG
Molecule: ribosomal RNA, 496 nt
Filed under: uncultured bacterium
Lineage: Bacteria
Description: partial 16S ribosomal RNA
Rfam family: Bacterial small subunit ribosomal RNA
Source: RNAcentral